RNAcentral lists this non-coding RNA (27 nucleotides) under Homo sapiens (human). Lineage: Eukaryota; Metazoa; Chordata; Mammalia; Primates; Hominidae. The record is from RNAcentral.
UUGUGGUUGAUGUUUGCAUAAAGGCAC